CUAAUUAAAUACACAGCAGCCACAUGCUCAGCAAAGUGGCUCUAGUGUAUAUUCCUAUACUGUAGCGAUAUUUUACUGGAUAAAAGAACGAGAAAAGUUGAUUCAUCUUCGGGUCGCUGAACACAUGCUAAUUGCUUGAAGGAUGGCCAACUCGUGCCCUACGAAAUCACAGACAAAGCGGUAGAUUUAAACAUUGCGAUUGCAAUAAAAGCAAAAUUGUAUCGGGAUGACCAAAGAGAUCGGGAUGUCCAGAGAUCAGUCCUGUGUUACAAACACAAAGAAGGGGAACUAAUGGUUCAACCAAUGUUCUAUGGCUCUGACGAAGUACUGGAACGUGAAUUGGUUUGAUUACAGUUAAAUUCACUUAGAAAAUCAGGUGUAUCGAGUUCAAUAUUUUGUAUUCUUACAUGUUUAGAAAUAUAUAUAUAAAUUCAUUUAUGUCGUAUAAAUAUUAGUUCUUUGGUGAGCACACGUAUCAUUUGAUGAUUGCGAUCAAGUUUCUUGCCAUAUCAUUGUAUAAGAAUGGCUACUACAAAAAUCCGUGCAUUUAUACUCUUCUUCUUGCGUUUAGAAAUCUUCUAAAUAGUGCAUCGUUUGUUUUCUCAAACUGUUAUAUAAUAUAUAUAGGAAAAACGUUUUAUGCCAUAAACUUUAAUCGUGAUUGCAAAAAGAAUAAAAAGGUAUUUCAUCAAGAUGAUUUUGCUGUAAAUUUUCGACAGUUUAGCAUACACUAAUGGCCGGAAUUUAGCAUCGGAACUAAAAUAUACGAAUGUCAGUUUUUAUGAAAUAAGUCCUUAUUGAAUCAUCAGCACUGGAGACAACAACGCUCUACCGUCUCUUAUUUUAAAUCAAACAUUGUUUAAAAACAUACAAAACAUUAAAUGUGCUUGAGAUGCUGGCAAAGUUUUAAUUGCCCAAAGGUGAAUCGUGUUAGUAGUUAUAAUAUUCAUGAGGAAACAUUUUUAUCGUAGCACGAGACAAGGGAUUAAGUAUUGACGUCUUUAACAAGGCAAACUAAAAAUAACGCGGAAAUCGACAACUUUGAAAAAAAUAAUGAACAAAACCGCUAAGUGAAAAACACUUAUUCAAAAACUAAAAAGUAAGACUAAUUCAUGCUUUGCACUUUAUGUCCAACACGAGAAGUUACGUUUUGGGCUUUAAAAUUCUAUUAAGAGGCCCUAGGUAUAUAACAUCUUUUACCUUUCCUUAUCUGGCUUGCGUACAUUUGCGCUUAUUUUACCACUCCGACUACUUGUAAAUUUUCGUUCAAAUCUCAACCCAAAGUUUUGAAAGGUUAAAAAUUACAUUUAAGUACGCUUCGAUAUUUACGUUUUCUUACAAAUUUAAUCCCAAUAAACAUUAGUCGGCAACAUUAUAAAUAGAUUUUUAUCUCAAAAUGUAUCUAACGAUUACUAAGAAACUCUAAUGUUUGCAUUUUGUGUAUGUUUUCAGAGAAAAGAAGACGAGAUUUUCUUGUGAGAUUGAACAGCUGCAAGCCAUGCAGAAGAGACACAACUGUGCUCCAGCAUAUCUAUCAAGCUUGUGAUGGUGAUGUAAAUGUUGCUAUCAAGUGGUGACAAAAUCUGUGAGCUCUCAUGUCUUUGUGCCUCCACCACCACCAUUAUUCACAAUUCCCUCGUCAAUGCUCACUUCCAAUCAAUGGCUAUUUCACCCCAUAUUCCCGGGAACCUCUACAAUAACGCGUGCUAGAGUUCUAUCAUCAAAGACUAAGGAGCAAACGUAAAACAAAACAUUGGAAAACUUCCUAAUGACCAGGACAUGAUAGAAGACUAGGUCAUAGUCUCCUGAUUUGACGCCUAUUCCUUUCGGCUACACUGCAAGAAAUUCAAGAGUUCGGAAUGAAUUUGAGGUGUUGCAAAUGCUUGGGAAAAGGAGGAUUUGCGUCAGUUGUCAAGAUAUUAUAAUUUAUGGAUUGAGGUAGAAGAAAUACUUGAAAAUGAAACUUCCAAAAGCGAAACAAAAUCCAAGCAUGACAGAGGAUAAACAACGAUGCCAGUUUUAAGAUAGAUUGAUGAAAUUCAACGUGGUUAAAGCACCUAGCGUACGCUAGAGAGUUGAUGAGGACUCGAUGACCAAUCAAAACACAAAUGAUUCCAAAAGAAAUAUCGAUGAAUCACAUAUACAUUUUGGAAGCUCGUUGGCUCACGUGAUAUAAUGGACGAGAAAUCUGAUUUCGAAAGUGAAAAGGAAGCAAUCAUCACAGGAGAUUUGCAAGAAGAUUCAAAGUGUAUUCUGCACGUUUUGCGUAUGCAGAUGUUGUAUUGUGAGAAGAGUACUCUAAGAAUGUUAUUGACGAGGGAUAGUACAAGCACCAACAGAGAAUGUGGCGGCUUCUCCGUGAUAUUAUAGAAGGAUUAGUUCACGUUCAUUCGCAGACGUCUAUCUCCGGAGAUCGGUAACCAAUGCUUAGCACAGCAGCUUCUUGGACAUCCUGUUAUCUCUCCAAAUGUCAUUUCGCACGGUUUAAGCAAUAACAUCACUUCAGAUACGCUUGACGCUGAAAAAGAUCACGGUUGAAAUCAAAAUAGCUGUGAUGAUGGAGAUGAGUAUUUUGAAAUGAUGCCUAAUCUUUCGGCUACUCUGCGAAAAAUUCAAGAAUUCGGAAUGAAUUUGAGGUGUUGCGAAUGCUUGGAAAAAGGAGGGUUUGCUUCAGUUGUCAAGAUAUUAUAAUUUAUGGAUUGAGGUAGAAGAAAUACUUGAAAAUGAAACUUCCAAAAGCGAAACAAAAUCCAAGCAUGACAGAGGAUAAACAACGACGCCAGGUUUAAGAUAGCUUUAUGAAAUUCAACGUAGUUGAAGCACCUAGAGUACGCUCGAAAGUUUUGGAUGAGGACUCGUGGACCAAUGAAAACACGAAUGAAUUGGAAACUGUUUACAUAGUUUCGUAAAAGCACUAUUGCCAAUGCACAUUUAAUAUAAACGACAAGUUUUCUGAAACAUGUCGAAACAUGUCUAUUUUCAGGAAACUGUUUAAUACUUAUCAUAAGAUAAAUCUUCUCGAGCAAUUUCACAAUAUUCUGAUGUAAUAACUACCCAAAACAUUUAAAAUUUAAACAACUAAUUUGGCCUAAUUUGAGAAUUUCAACAUGAAUGAUUUGUGGCACUCGAAUUUCGAGCAUGCGCAAUGGACACGCGCGAGGAUACGGACUUUUCAAGCACCGGAAAAACGAAGAAUGUUUUUGGCCACUUUACUUCUUCAAUUUUUUUUCAGAGAGCGUAAUGCUAGUUUCGAGGUAUUAAUGAAAAUCCGAGUUAAUGCACCCUUC
Molecule: long non-coding RNA, 3287 nt
Organism: Xenia sp. Carnegie-2017
Lineage: Eukaryota; Metazoa; Cnidaria; Anthozoa; Malacalcyonacea; Xeniidae
Exons: 7
Source: RefSeq, a predicted model, not a curated record